UUAUCACUGCUGUCCCCGGCACCGCAGCUCCCGGCGCCGUCAUUACCAGAGCACCCGGCACCACAGCCUUCAUCACUGCUGUCCCCGGCACCGCAGCCGCCGCCUUCUUAUACUGGUACUGCUACCAAAGGGAUGGAUCCUGCAGUCUACGUCAUGAUGAAAGCCAUGCUGUCGGCGAACAAGGUGAAAUCCGAGCCGGACGGCAACAGGACGGGGUCGUCGCCGUUGCCUGGGAAGAAGAGGAAAUUGGACGAAGCAUACGGUGACGACGGCCCGCCUUCUUAUGUGCUGCCAAACACUCCCCAUGACAGCUCCGACGGCCGGCCUGGUGGGUUCUCCCGGAGCCGGAAGAUGCGGCAUAUUACCAGCGGACACGACGGCGACAGCACGGACUGGGAAGCCGCACGGGAGAGGCUGCAGGGCGUCGUCCCUCCGCAGCUGGAGUGCGUGUUUGCGGCGACCGAGCCCUCCGACAUCGUCAAGUCCACCUACGUCGCUCUUCUUCAGGCAGCGAACCACGCAUCCUUCUCCUUGUCCUACGCGCUGGAGCUGGACACGGAGAACGCUGCACUGCGGAUGCAGCUGCAGAAGACGGAGGCCAAGCUCACCGCGGCGGAGGCGGAGGUGGAGAAGGUGAAGGCCGAG
RNAcentral lists this ribosomal RNA (645 nucleotides) under Triticum aestivum (bread wheat). RNAcentral's name for it is "partial small subunit ribosomal RNA". Lineage: Eukaryota; Viridiplantae; Streptophyta; Magnoliopsida; Poales; Poaceae. The record is from RNAcentral.